This 3306-nucleotide long non-coding RNA is filed under the name Amborella trichopoda. RNAcentral describes it as "long non-coding RNA (ATRI_LNC004768)". The record is from RNAcentral. Lineage: Eukaryota; Viridiplantae; Streptophyta; Magnoliopsida; Amborellales; Amborellaceae.
AGUUAUUGAUUUUUUUGCGAUUCGCUUUUUUUAUUAAUUGGUUACAAUUACAUUGUCAUUUGCUAAUAUUUUGUAUACAAAUAUGAAAGGAUUCGGUCAGCCGGCUCUUCUCUGGGAUUCUGUACGUCAACGGUUGUGAUCGCCUGAAGUUUUAGAUGGAGAUCAGCGUGGUUUUUACUUCCCCUAGAACUACAGUAAUCAAAAUAAAUGCCCUCUGACAUUUGCAGAGGGCAUUACGGCAGAGCGUCUCUCCCUCUCGAAAUGGGAACUCUCUCUCUCUCUCUCCAUCUGCCGCCACCUCUUGCUCUCUCUCUCUCUUACUCUCUGUAACUCCUCUCUCUCUCUCAAUCCCUCUAUAGCUCGCCCCUCUCUCUCAAUCCCUCUAUCGCUCGCCCCUCUCUCUCAAACCCUCGCUGCCCCUCUCUCUCUUCCUCGCUGCCCCUCUCUCUCAAUCUUCCUCGCUGCCACAUUCUCUCAAUCUCUCUAUCGCUCACCCCUAUCUGCCCUCGCUCUCAAUCUCUCUCUCGCCUACCCCUCUCCGCCCCUCUCUCUACAUCUCUCGCUUCCCCUCUCUCUCUCUCUCUCUCAAAAUACAACAAAAAACAGGUUUUUUUUUUUUGAAAUUUUAGUAAAUUUUUGUACUCCAUUGUUCCUGCAAAGAUGAUUGGGGCAAUCUCCAGUGGAGUUGACGUUCAUCUGAGGUUCAGGUAUGCUAUCUUUGAAUCUUUGGGCCAUUACUAUUUUAUUUUGAUUUUUAAAGUUGAUUUCUUUAUGUUUUUUUGGAUAUCUUUGAAUCUUUUCUAUAACAGUGCUUUAUUUUGAUUUUUACAGCUGAUAUCAAUUUUUUUUUUUGUGGAUUUCGAUUUUGUUUGUUCCAUUUCGAGUUUUGGGGGUUUUGGUUGUCCCAGUGCGUAAGCUUUGCUCUGAGGUUCGUUCUCAAUAUGAUAAAACUAGUUUCUUGUUUUAUUUGGGUCUGGUAUGUGGGGGCCUUGGUUGCAAUUUCUUCUCUUCCUUUAGUGGCAUCUGGUUUACCUUCCUUCCCCCACCCACUUCCUAGGAGUUAAGCGGUCUCCUAGUUAUAUCAGGCUUCUUUUCUUAACUUAUAAAUUUUUUAAAGAGAUACAGGUCCUACUUUUCUAUUUUGUAUUGUUGUGUCAUUCUCAUCAUGCUAUUUUCCUUGAAAAUCUCAAUGGAUAUCUGUGGGUAAGUUUAUUUUUCUCCCAGUUUCUCUUGUAAUGUACUGCACAGUUAUGCAAUCAUACUCAUGAUAAGCUAAUCCCACCCAAGAUCUGAAUUUUUAAAACCGUCAGGGCAUUUUUUUUCAGAACUGAAUAAAUUUCCAAAAUCCUGUAAUUAUUUUUUUCAGAAGACAUAAUUGUAGCAUUGAAUAUGUCAAGAUCGACAUUUCUGUUGUAUGAUUGUCUUUCUUGAUAUUGAUAAUAUAUUAGAUAUUGAUAAUAUAUUAAUCAAAUUUGAUUAUGUCAAUUUACUAAUAAAAUUUGAUCCUGGGAUUAUAUCACAUUUUUGUGAAGAACUAAAUGACAAGAAGUUCUCCUUAUGUUCUUUCAAUAUGAGAAUUAUCAUGUUUGGGAGAGAUCUAUGAGACUAUAUUAGUGGAGCAACCAAUGAACCUACUAAAACCGCAAAGUGUAAGUUUGUAAUAGCUUAAACUAAGAUGUUGGAGAGUUUUUUUAUAUUGAUAUCAGGUUUUAAAAUAUGUUAUGAUGGACCAUAUUGGACAGGGCUGGUGUUGAUCUAUUAUACUGAUAUCAGGUUUUAAAAUAUGUUAUGAUGGACCAUAUUGGACAGGGACUAGAGCUGAUCUAUACAAUGGUAAUGUUCAUUGUGACGGGUAUGAAUUGAAAAAUAAUAUAAAUACAUUUUAAAUUAAGGGUGAUGUUCGUAUAAGGUAUUCACCUUAUAAUAAAAACCUCAAUUGUCUUGUUUCUUCCCCUUUGGAUCAAUACCUCAGUUAUUUGAAAUGGUGCCUUAGUUGUUCAUCAUUUUGAAUACUCAUAGCUAUUUGGGUUUAUAAUGAAUGGGUCUGGGUUUUCCAACUUGAAAUUUCUUAGAGCAUGCAUUUUGAAUCUUGCGAAAUCCAUCUCUUUGGGAUAGUGAAGGUUCACCCAAAAAAGUUCACAUAUAGUUAUUCUAGGUGCUUGCCUAUAUUUUUUUCUUAGCUAGUUGGACUUCUAAGAAGCUAGGAUAGGAACUUAAACUUGAAUAAUCUAUAUCUACUAUGAACACAUGCACCAGUCAUCGCCUGCAUCCAAACAUCAUAGAUUGACAUUGAAGCAUCAUAAUUUUACAUUGUAAAGUGUUGAAAGCUAUAUGCAUGAAUUUAACCGUUUGUGUUUCAUAUGGUUAUGAUGUAGUUCUUCAUAGUUUUCUUGUCACUUCUAUUUAGAAUGAAUCUCAAGAACCAGUUCCCUCCAUUAUUUUUGUAAACGCAGACCAAUAUUUGAUCGAAUGCUCGUCUUUAUCACAAAAACACGAGAUAACUAUAGAAAGCCUUUCUACAAAUGCUCCAACUGGAAGGUAUUAGACAUUCAUUCAUCAAAAUAAUGUAGAAGCACAUUAUUGAUCAAUUGUAAGCACAAACCGAAAACCCUUUAUCUGCUUGUGUUAACCACUAUAAUGACAUAGGAUGCAACCGUAUGGUGUGGUACGACGAGAUCCUUGGCAAGACAAGAAGCCUAUGGUCAGAAGAUUUGUGUCACAAAGCCCAGAUGCUUGUGUCAUUGAUGGAGUACAUCUUGUUGUAUAUGAAAAAGAGAAGCCCAAAGUUGUUGCCAUGAUCCUUGAGAAAGUAGUCGUUCUAAAAUUUAUUAUUAUAAGUACAAUUGUACUUAUCUGCUGAUGUUUGUCAUUCUUUUCCUUUUGAAUUGAAUGGGUAAUUGUUUCAUGGUAUCAUUACAAUUGUAGUUCAGUUUUCACAUCCCUCCUUCUUGUUUGGUGAUGUAUUGUAAUAUGGUUAGUGUUAGUGUCUUUGCACAGUAAUGCAAUUGAGUACAGUAUUGCAUUUUGGUUAUUCUAUACAUAAGAAAAGGUUGUUUGGUGUGCUUUUGCUCAUUGAAAUUCGACAUUCUACCAAAAAAACUCGAAACUCUCCUAGAUAUAUGCAUUGGUUGGGUUGCACAGCUGCAGCUAUUCAUAUAAUACUAAUAAUUGGGAGUGAUGAUCACAUUUUUGUUCCACUUUGAUUUCAUGAGUUUGACCCCAAGUUACAUAUCAAAAAGAAAGUGUUAAGCAAGUGAGGAAUCUUAAAUUCUUAAACUAUUACUACUUCAAUGUAACUCAUCCAGG